CUGGACUGUACUGCUGCCAUGUCGGCUCACUGCAACCUCCCUGCCUGAUUCUCCUGCCUCAGCCUGCCGAGUGCCUGCGAUUGUAGGCCCGCGCCGCCACGCCUGACUGGUUUUCGUAUUUUUUGGGUGGAGACGGGGUUUCGCUGUGUUGGCCAGGCUGGUCUCCAGCUCCUAACCGCGAGUGAUCCGCCAGCCUCGGCCUCCCGAGGUGCCGGGAUUGCAGACGGAGUCUCCUUCACUCAGUGCUCAAUGGUGCCCAGGCUGGAGUGCAGUGGCGUGAUCUCGGCUCGCUACAACAUCCACCUCCCAGCAGCCUGCCUUGGCCUCCCAAAGUGGCGAGAUUGCAGCCUCUGCCCGGCCGCCACCCCGUCUGGGAAGUGAGGAGCGUCUCUGCCUGGCCGCCCAUCGUCUGGGAUGUGAGGAGCCCCUCUGCCUGGCUGCCCAGUCUGGAAAGUGAGGAGCAUCUCUGCCCGGCCGCCAUCCCAUCUAGGAAGUGAGGAGCGCCUCUUCCCGGCCGCCACCCCAUCUAGGAAGUGAGGAGCGUCUCUCCCCGGCCGCCCAUCGUCUGAGAUGUGGGGAGCGCCUCUGCCCUGUCGCCUCGUCCGGGAUGUGAGGAGCGUCUCUGCCCGGCCGCCCCGUCUGAGAAGUGAGGAGACCCUCUGCCUGGCAACCGCCCUGUCUGAGAGAAGGAGGAUGGAAAGAACUGAGGAAGCAGUAAAAGCAUUCAGGCCGUACGAGCAUAUAGAAAAAACUUGCAAAGAAAAAUGAAGAAACGCCUGCUCAUUAGCCAUCUGCCACUUCACCAAUGCCAGGAAAUUCCGGGCAGCUGUUUUUUAUAAAGUGGAUAAUUCACAUAAUUGUGUUGGGGACUUCCAGCUAUGAAGAACUGUUAGAACAUUUGAAAAUUAGUGUUCCCAAGUUGUACUGUGAUACAAAAGCCCAGUGAAUUCUUCAAACUUCCACCUCUUACAGGAAUCUGAGAAAACCAGAUAAUGUUUACAUCUACGCAUGGGGAAGGAAGGCUUGGCAGAUUAUUGGUAUCGAAAGGAAUUCUUUUUAGUUAGUUUUUAACCCUACCUGUCUUGUGAAUGUGCUAUGUACAGGCUCUUUGUAAGUCUUCAACCAUGCAGCAAAAUCCAUCUAGCCACUCAAAGAUUGGUAAUAGCAUAAUUGUCUAAUGUGUGUCUUUUCAGGAAAUUGAAAUUGAUAUGUUGUAUCUCCCUCAUGCCAAAAUUUUAUAAAAAUCAUUUCUAAGCCUAAUGACAUGUAAACUGAAUUACCCCCUCCAAAUAUUUACUCUAAAAGCAAGUGGACAAUUUCUGUAGAAUUCCUAAGAUAAUCAUCUCCUGCUAAAAACAAAAUCUACAUUCAAUUUAUAAGAUGCCUUUGUAUUCUCUUUAAGAAGAUGAACCUAUAGUGAAAAAGCUCAAAAACAAAUUAAAUAUAAAACUUUCCUUCUACUAGUGGUGCUGGGCACCGAAUACCUGCAAUUUCACAUAAUGCAAAGCACAUUUGAGAACAAUGAACACACACCUCACGUUGACUUCCCCUCCUCUGACUUGAGCAAGAAAUUCCCCUUCUCUUCAUCUUGGUUAUUCCCUGUAAGUCUCAGUUUCCACAUCUCCACAGAACAGAGAAUAACAUGCAACCUGCUCCACACAGUGGUUGCAAGAAUUAAAUUUGAUCAGGCAAUCAAAUAUUUUGUACACAUUUCAUAUGCUCAGCUGCCUCAAGAAGCUCUAGUUAGACAAAACAAACAUGGUGGAAACAAUUGCAUGUAACUGAGGGCUAAAUAACAUGGAAAAGAUGCAACAUGUAUCCAUAGACUUGUGGACAGUGUAUUCACAGGAGGCAAUAAAGGCAGUGAGAAUACCUAGGAAAUGUUUCCUGGAAAUGCUAUCCUUGAUCUCAGCUUGAAGGAUGGUCAGAGGACAGGAUACAUACAGCCCCAAGAAGAGGAGAGGGGAUUCCAUCUACUCUUAUCUCUUUCACUCCCCUGCUCACAGUUGAUACUUAGCCAGCAUCACCUGGAAACAUGAGAGUUGAAAAGCAAAUCUCCAGACCCAUCCCAGUCCUAUGGACUCAGCACUCUCAGGUGGGGCUCAGAGAUCUGUUUUAACCAGCCUUCCAGCUGGACUUCUGAACACUCAAGUUUGGGAACCACUGCUGUUGCUUUGCUUGAUCUUACCUCCUCUCUUCGGUGACCACAAGUUCUUUCCACCUGACCAACUCCUGCAGUUUUUGCAGCUGUAAAUUUCACUUUCAUUUCCUCCAGAGAGCAUGCCCAACCUGCACUGGAGUCUAGUUUGUCCAUGCAUGUCCCAACCCCAGCCCUAGGUUAGGUAUUUUGGCCCUGUGUCAUACUUUCCUUGACAAGGUACUCAGGGCAUGUCAUUUUGCUUGUUUAAUUGCCUUCCUGAUAACCUACUAGCUCCAUAAAGGCAGGUACUGAGUCUAUUUUGUUCACAUCACUUCAUUCUCAGAGCCUUGCACACUGUAAGGUACUUUGUUAAUACCUGUUGGAUAAAUAAGUAAAUCAAAGAAGCCACGAAACAAUUGGUUUUGAAUAGUAUAAAGUACUAUAAAAUCAGGAAUAUGAUACAUAUACAAUUAACAGAUGCAUUUGAAGUACCGGUUGUAGAAACACAGCUGAGUUUAGUUUGUCUUUGAGAAGAGUUUCAUGAAGAGAUUUGGGUUUCGAAAAUCUCUGCACUGAAAAUGCUACCAAUGUCACACCAUAUCACCUGAUAAGGUAGUAUUGAUUGUUUGUUAUUAUCAUUCUUGGCAGUAUUGCUUGUUUGUCAUUAUCAUUCAUUUUUCCUCCAUGACCAGAUUUUUCUGCCUUUGGAGCAAUUUGGCCCACAGAGGCUGGCAGACAAAACAGCCUCUCACCAGUGCAAGAGAAGGGCUGUGGGGAGGCUUACAUCUAAGAUUUGUGGGUGAAUAUUGGAAACAGUAACUCUUCACUUUAUUAUAAAGAAAAAGCUUUGGACCAAGAGUCCUAACACCUGAAUUCUAACUCUGGCUUCCUUCCUUCCCUCAUUUAAAUAUUUAAAUAUUUACUCUAUUCCGGGCCCUGUGCUUGGAUCUGAGCCUACAAUGGCGAACAAGACAUACACGUAGUCCCUCCCUCACCAAACCUAAAGGUCUGCUCAUCUGCUAUGGGCUACAGCCACUCCUGACUCCUACAGGACACCGAAC
Molecule: long non-coding RNA, 3201 nt
Filed under: Homo sapiens (human)
Lineage: Eukaryota; Metazoa; Chordata; Mammalia; Primates; Hominidae
Description: HSALNT0071197
Source: RNAcentral